UUAAGUGAUAAUUGCCUAGGAGAUACACCUGUUCUCAUGCCGAACACAGAAGUUAAGCCCUAGAACGCCGGAAGUAGUUGGGGGUUG
Molecule: ribosomal RNA, 87 nt
Filed under: Staphylococcus aureus
Lineage: Bacteria; Bacillati; Bacillota; Bacilli; Caryophanales; Staphylococcaceae
Also listed under: 4 other names
Source: RNAcentral